This 1343-nucleotide ribosomal RNA is filed under the name Daphnia tibetana. RNAcentral's name for it is "16S ribosomal RNA". The stretch from base 902 to 1260 matches the Rfam family "Archaeal large subunit ribosomal RNA", at positions 2150 to 2716 of the family's 2987-position model. The record is from RNAcentral. Lineage: Eukaryota; Metazoa; Arthropoda; Branchiopoda; Diplostraca; Daphniidae.
AUACUCGUGCAAGUCGAGUUUUGUUAAUACACGCGUUUAGCUGGACUUAAUAGGAGAACCAUCUUUCUAUUUUAUUGUAGUAGUAAAUGUUAAUGAAAUUAUACGUAAGCUUAUAGUGUAGAGUACUGUGAAGGACUAUUGAAAGACAAGUUAAUAGAUUCAAAGAAGAUAUUAAAAAUCGUACCUUGUGUAUCAGGGUUUAGUAAAAUUUUAUUAAAAUAAAUUUAUCCCGAAAUAGAGCGAGCAAUAUUUUUAAAACAUUAAAUAUAACAUAAUUUUUGUAAAUUAAAAUAUAGGGUAAAAGGCCAUACGAGCUCUCAUAUCUGGUUCCGUGAAAAAUGAAUUCAAUUCAGAUAGUUUCAGUUUUAAUUUUUUUAACUAAUUACAUUAAUUUUAACUAAGAAAGUUAUAGAGGGAUGAGCUUCUAUAGUAAUUUGGCAUAAUUAUUUCAAUAAACUAAAAUGAUUUUAGGUUUAGUGAUGACCUCAACCACGAAGUUUAUUAUAAUUUACAUUUACGAAUAAAAUAUUUUUUAUUUAUUUGCCAUUUUAUCACGGUAUUAAGGUUUCCCCAACCUCUUAAGAAAUAAUGCUAAAAUUAGUACAAUAAAGUGUUUCUUCAGAUUAUAAAAUAAAGGAAAAUAUUACAACAUUUUAGUUAUUUUAAAGGAACUCGGCAAACAAGUUUUCCGCAUGUUUAUCAAAAACAUCUCCUCUUGCUGAUAUAAGAGGUACCAUCUGCCCAAUGCAACAUUGUAAAUGGCCGCAGUAUCCUGACUGUGCUAAGGUAGCAUAAUCAUUAGUCUUUUAAUUGGAGGCUGGUAUGAAUGAUGAGACGAGAAAACAACUGUCUCUAAAAUAAAUUUGGAACUUCAUUUCUAAGUGAAAAAGCUUAGAUGAUUUUGAAGGACGAUCAGACCCUUUGGAGCUUUAUUUAUACUAAUAAUCUUAGUUUAUAUUAUAAAACUAGACUUUAAAUAAAUUUUGUUGGGGCGACAGAGAGUUAAAAAUAACACUCUUUUUUUAUAACAAUCAUAAAUGAAAAAAUGAUCCUCGACGAGAGAUUAGAAGACUAAGUUACCCUAGGGAUAACAGCGUAAUCUUUUUGGAGAGUUCUAAUCGAUAAAAAGGUUUGCGACCUCGAUGUUGGAUUAAGAGAUUAGCAAGGUGCAGAAGUUUUGCUAGAGAGUCUGUUCGACUCUUGAUUUCUUACAUGAUCUGAGUUCAAACCGGCGUAAGCCAGGUUGGUUUCUAUCCUCAAAUUUAAUUUGGCCCCUUUAGUACGAAAGGAUUAAGGGGUCGAGAUCUUUCUUGUCAGAAGAGAACUAAAUUAAUCUCAUAAUA